GAUGAACGCUGGCGGCGUGCCUAAUACAUGCAAGUCGAGCGAACAGACGAGGAGCUUGCUCCUCUGACGUUAGCGGCGGACGGGUGAGUAACACGUGGAUAACCUACCUAUAAGACUGGGAUAACUUCGGGAAACCGGAGCUAAUACCGGAUAAUAUAUUGAACCGCAUGGUUCAAUAGUGAAAGACGGUUUUGCUGUCACUUAUAGAUGGAUCCGCGCCGCAUUAGCUAGUUGGUAAGGUAACGGCUUACCAAGGCAACGAUGCGUAGCCGACCUGAGAGGGUGAUCGGCCACACUGGAACUGAGACACGGUCCAGACUCUUACGGGAGGCAGCAGUAGGGAAUCUUCCGCAAUGGGCGAAAGCCUGACGGAGCAACGCCGCGUGAGUGAUGAAGGUCUUCGGAUCGUAAAACUCUGUUAUUAGGGAAGAACAAAUGUGUAAGUAACUAUGCACGUCUUGACGGUACCUAAUCAGAAAGCCACGGCUAACUACGU
RNAcentral lists this ribosomal RNA (496 nucleotides) under uncultured bacterium. Its description in RNAcentral is "partial 16S ribosomal RNA". It matches the Rfam family "Bacterial small subunit ribosomal RNA", at positions 28 to 506 of the family's 1533-position model. The record is from RNAcentral.